Long non-coding RNA from Oncorhynchus gorbuscha (pink salmon), 546 nucleotides. RefSeq lists it as uncharacterized. NCBI's taxonomy places the organism in Eukaryota, Metazoa, Chordata, Actinopteri, Salmoniformes, Salmonidae. The record is from RefSeq and is a predicted model, not a curated record. The transcript has 4 exons.
UGUUUUUAGUUUCAGACAGGCCAGAAUAACACAAGUCAAGUAUUAAAACAUGAGGGUGGUUUGUGACUUUGUUCAUCGUAGACAAGUAGCUAGUACAAAAGUUGUUUCAAGUUUUUAAUAGAGGCAGAUCUUAGCAUAAAAACAUGUCAUUGGCAGCAGAGUACUGGAACGAAAGAUGGCCAAAGGAGGUUUUGGCUCUGGGAAUGACCAGUGAGAUAUACCUGCUGGAGCGCUUGCUACUGGUCGCUAGGCCACGAAACCCCAAAUGAAGCAAGCUAUGCAGUUUUCCCAAAUCGCUAACAAGAUCAGAGAAGCCCACAGAAAACUGAUGAUUCUAAAUCACCCCGACAGACGGUUGAGGAACGAGUAAAACGCUUUCCAAACAAUGAUGUACUUUUAUAUAGUUAUUCAGCUUGUACAAUGUAAUUUGGAUCACAAUUGCAUAUUUUUUUGCAGGUGGUGGAUCACUAAAUCAAUAGUUCACUUUGUACUUGGUUGGGCCCAGGGGUUUUCUUAUUCACCAAAUAAAUCAUACAUUAAAAGAGA